RNAcentral lists this ribosomal RNA (254 nucleotides) under uncultured bacterium. Its description in RNAcentral is "partial 16S ribosomal RNA". It matches the Rfam family "Bacterial small subunit ribosomal RNA", at positions 524 to 776 of the family's 1533-position model. The record is from RNAcentral.
GACGAACCGUGCGAACGUUAUUCGGAAUCACUGGGCUUAAAGCGCGUGUAGGCGGGUCGGCGCGUCGGCCGCUGAAAUCCCCCGGCUCAACCGGGGAAGCGGCGCCGAUACGGCCGGCCUGGAGGGACGUAGGGGGGGCUGGAACUUCCGGUGGAGCGGUGAAAUGCGUUGAGAUCGGAAGGAACGCCCGUGGCGAAAGCGAGCCCCUGGACGUCUACUGACGCUGAGACGCGAAAGCCAGGGGAGCGAACGGG